AAUCAACGCUGGCGGCGUGCCUAACACAUGCAAGUCGAACGCGAAAGCCCGCAAGGGUAAGUAGAGUGGCGCACGGGUGAGUAACACGUGGACAACCUGCCUUCGAGUGGGGAAUAACCUUCCGAAAGGAGGGCUAAUACCGCAUAACACCUCGGGACACAAGUUCUGGGGUUGAAAAGAGCAAUUUGCUCGAAGAGGGGUCCGCGCCUGAUUAGCUAGUUGGUGAGGUAACGGCUCACCAAGGCUUCGAUCAGUAGCCGUCCUGAGAGGGAGCACGGCCACACUGGAACUGAGACACGGUCCAGACUCCUACGGGAGGCAGCAGUGGGGAAUUUUUGGCAAUGGGCGAAAGCCUGACCAAGCAACGCCGCGUGGGUGAUGAAGUAUCUUGGUACGUAAAACCCUUUCGGCAGGGACGAACCUAAUGACGGUACCUGCGGAAGAAGCCCCGGCUAACUCCGUGC
RNAcentral lists this ribosomal RNA (464 nucleotides) under uncultured bacterium. RNAcentral describes it as "bacterial SSU rRNA". It matches the Rfam family "Bacterial small subunit ribosomal RNA", at positions 32 to 508 of the family's 1533-position model. The record is from RNAcentral.